Molecule: long non-coding RNA, 814 nt
Filed under: Cervus hanglu yarkandensis (Yarkand deer)
Lineage: Eukaryota; Metazoa; Chordata; Mammalia; Artiodactyla; Cervidae
Description: lncRNA (ENSCHYG00000008373.1)
Source: RNAcentral
ACCAUGCCCGCGUCUAGACUGCAAUUGAAGGAAGCGGCUGCUCCUCAAUGGCCUCGGGGCUCAGUGGGUUCGGUUGUGAGUAGGAAGACGCUAGCGGGUUAGAGCCGGGGUGAGGUAUUUGCUAGAAGGUGGUGUUCCUCGGGAGCUUGAGUGUCACCGCUGUGACAGCAUCCGUGGCCUCCGUCCUGAUGAACUUUGUGAUCUUGAACAGUGAUUGCAAGUAAUUGCUGAAUGAAUAAAACAGGCCUCCUAAGCCUAGUAUGUUGCAAGUCUGAAACAGACUAAUGUUCUCUGGCUGUUUGCAUUCUUGAAAGGAAGCUAGCAUAUAAGCAAGUCUCCAUCUUCUGCUGGUAUACAGAGGGUUCCUGGAGCCGCUGAGUGGAGACCAGGUUGAGAUUCCCCACGUGUCUCUCUUCCCUCUCAGUGAAGAAGGGAGGACCAUGUCACUAGACUUUGGCAGUGUGGCCCUGCAGACGCAAAAUGAAGACGAAGAAUUUGACAAAGAAGACUAUGAAAGGGAGAAAGAGGUAAGUUAUUCAGAAGAAUUCUAAACCCGAUCUUAAACAAUUUUAUAUUCUAACCAAAAUUAUAUCAUUUUGUGUCAUUUCAAAGGUCUUUUCCCCUACCCUGAAACUUGAUCGGCAUUUUAAAUGGUAGAUGAGUGGAAGGCUUCCUUUUUUUGAGACAAGAAUAAAACACAACUGUGUAUGAUGCCAUCAGUUAAAUGGUUAGAUUCUUUAAGAUCUUUUCAUUUAUGAGGUAGUGGUUGAUCUUGGAGGCAGAGAUGUACUUGCAUGGGCAAGUCAGCAAGAUU